GCUAUGGGGCAGCUAUGGGGCAGCUAUGGGGCAGCCAUGGGGCAGCUAUGGGGCAGCUAUGGGGCAGCCAUGGGGCAGCUAUGGGGCAGCUAUGGGGCAGCUAUGGGGCAGCUAUGGGGCAGCCCCAUUGUCCUCCCCCCAGCACAGCCGCAAUGUCUCUGGGCUGCGGGAGGCGCUGCAGAAGAAGAUCGGCCUCUUAGAGCUGCAGCUCCAUCACCACGGCAACGGCAGCCGUUCCCAUGGCAACACAGAGCCCCAUGGCAACCAGCUGGGAGCCCAUCUCCAUGGCAACCAGCAUCACGGUCUCCAUGGCAACCAGCAUCACGGUCUCCAUGGCAACCAGCAUCAUGGCGGUCACCAUGGCGACCACAGCAAGAGCGGGGACCAUGGUAACCAACAGCAGCAUCAUCUCCAUGGCAACCAGCAUCAUGGCGACCUCCAUGGCAACCAUUACCAUGGCAACCAGCAUCAUGAUCUCCAUGGCAACCAUCACCAUGGCAACCAGCAUCACCAUGGCGACCAUCAGAGCCGGCUGAGCAGCAUCCUCCAUGAGCAUCUCCAUGGCAACCAGCAUCAUGGCGAUCUCCAUGGCAACCAUCAUGGUGGUCACCAUGGCGACCCCCAUCAUCAUCAUCAUGGUUUCCAUGGCAACCAUCACGGUCACCAUGGCGACCAUAGCGAGAAACAUGGCGACCACGGUCACCAUGGCGACCAACAGAAGGGGGGGGGGCAGCACGGGGGUCUCCAUGGCAACCAUCACCAUGGCAACCGUGAGGAGAAACAUGGCGACCGUCACCAUGGCGACCAUCUCCAUGGCAACCAUCACCAUGGCAACCACGAGGACAAACAUGGCGACCAUAAAGCUGGUAUCCAUCACCACGAUGGUCUCCAUGGCAACCAUCACCAUGGCAACCAUCACCAUGGCAACCACGAGGACAAACAUGGCGACCAUCAUCACCAUGGCAACCGUCACCAUGGAGACGGACUGUGGGACCGAAGCGGUCGCCAUGGAGACGAGGAGGAGGAAGCUGCCCCCCACGGGCCGUUCCUUUUGGGGGGGGGGGGCGACUUUGGUAUCUCCUGAUAGGGACCCACCCAGGAUGCCCCUCCCCCACAAACCCCCCAAUGUUCAAGUACGCCCCCU
RNAcentral lists this long non-coding RNA (1144 nucleotides) under Coturnix japonica (Japanese quail). RNAcentral describes it as "lncRNA (ENSCJPG00005002699.1)". Lineage: Eukaryota; Metazoa; Chordata; Aves; Galliformes; Phasianidae. The record is from RNAcentral.